Molecule: transfer RNA, 105 nt
Filed under: Buceros rhinoceros silvestris
Lineage: Eukaryota; Metazoa; Chordata; Aves; Bucerotiformes; Bucerotidae
Rfam family: tRNA
About the family: Transfer RNA (tRNA) molecules are approximately 80 nucleotides in length. Their secondary structure includes four short double-helical elements and three loops (D, anti-codon, and T loops).
Source: Rfam by way of RNAcentral
GUCAGGGUGGCCGAGUGGUCCAAGGCGCCAGACUCAAGCUGCGCUUCCCUGCACUGGGGAUUCUGGUCUCCCCUGGAGGCGCGGGUUCGAAUCCCGCUCCUGACA